CUUUUCGUCAUUCCCAUUAACUUGGCUCAUCUCUUUUCUAGCCUUCCCCAUUCUCUUCCUUUUCCUUUGGUAUGGAAUACAAUAUUAGCACCUUUGUUUUAACUUUCUCCAGAGAUCAACACCACCACCAGGUAUUUCAGGAGGGAUUUUCUAUCUGCCAUUUCUCCUCGACCUGGAGUGAUUGUGCUUGAGAAAGAGUCAUGGGAAAAAGUGAAGAGAGAAAAUGAGUCGAUAAGAAACGAGAUGGAUGAAAUAUUCAAAUUCAAAUAAGUUUAUAAAGAGAGAAAGCACAAGGCACGCGGAUGGAUUGACGACUAAUGGAUACAGAGUGAUGAAUGAACUGGAAUGUGAAGACAAAACAUUCUCCAUCAAUUCCCCUCCCUCCCUACCUUCUGUUGUAUAUGUGGAUCAGAAGAUCGUCUCCUACUCAGGUUUGCUCUGGGAUUUGAUUCAAUCUGAUCUCAUUAAUAACUUAUAUAUACAAUUCCAAGAUUCUAUGGUACAACCUAGCAUUUAAUUGAUUUUGUAGGUGGCAGUGGGAGGUGGAAAUAUUUCGAUUAACUAACAAUAGGUAUGGGUUCAUUGGAUUAUUGAUACAAUCAGGUGGGAGUUGAAGUGGUUCAUUUGUUAUUUUUCUUUUCCAAAUAUACCGUGUUUCCUUAGUAGAGUUAUUCAUGUUCCAAUGUGGGUUCACACUAACUGAAAACCAUUAAGAGGGUUUCGGGUGUUUAUGCUCAUAUGAAUAAUUCAUUCAUCACAAGAUUCUAAUCUUCAUCGCCACCUUAAAACUCCAACACCUAGCAACCAAUAUUUUAAACAAGUGAACCUCAUGCAGACCUCCCAUGUGCGGCCUUCUGAAUUUCUCUAUGAAUAUUAGCAAUUCCUAGAUUCACUCCAUAUCAUCUCCCUAGAAUAUACACAUACAUUCGAGUCCAUGCAUGCAUAACACUGUUACUUAAAAUGAGAGUCUCUCUAAGCCCUCUCUCUCUAGUCUUUUCUGUUAUCCGAAUCCUCAAAAUUUAAGAAAAAGUCUACUCCAACGGUCUUUUUUUUAGCCUGUUAGCUCUUCCAGCGGUCUUUUUCUACCGGAAGCCAAUGCCGGCCGCGUAAAGUUUCUCCUGAGCUCUAAGAUUUUUAUGAUUUUUGAGCCUUUUGUUCUCAAUCAAGACUACCCAUUGAUCUCUGUUAACUAAAUCCUUCCAAUCUGCGAGUCAAUUUAAGUUCCACUAGUCCUCUAAUUUUCUAAGUUUCUGUGAUUCGAAUUCUAAAGACACCAAGACACAAAAGACCCUAAAGACACCAAGAUACUUACACCAGUACCAGUUUCAAGAAGACACCAGGUUUCGUGAUAUCCUUACAAGCUGCAAUAGACCCGAAAUUUUUAAGAUUUGUGUCGUUCUCUGUUUUAUUAGAAAAAUUCAAGUGUUAGUUUAUCUCGUCUGUUUUUGCCUAAAAAGUUUCUUAGAUUCACAACUUUUGUAUUCCGGAAGUUGAAAAGUUUUUCUUAUGACUUGCUAUUUUUGAAAAGUUCAAUUGUGAUUCCAAUCUGAUUGUUUUAUCUAUUAGUGUCCCUGAGUUAAGCUUUUUGUUUUGUUAUAAGUUAAUUUCUUCUCUAUUUGCCGUCUUCCUAGUCUCUUCUUGUUCGGCUGAUUGUUGAGGGAUGAGUAUCCUGAGUUGGAAUUGUCAUGGUUUUGCAAAACCAAAAGCAAUUCUUGAACUUAGGGAAUUAAUCAAGUUAAAAUCUCCUGAUAUAAUUUUUUAUGUGAAACUAUGAUCGGUAAUAAGGCCUCUACUUCUAAGCUACGAUCUUUAGGAUAUCACAACUCUUCAUUGGUUCCAUCUAUAGGGAAGAAAGGUGGUGUUGCGCUAUCCUGGAAGGAUGGUUUUGACAAUAUUGUUAAACAGUCCAGCCAACAAGGAUUCGUAUGCUCCACUAGAUCAAUUAAAGCUAACAAGGUAUGUAACUUAUAUUUUACUUAUGGUGAACCAAAUAGAAGCUUGAGAAAUCUCAGUUGGGAUGCCUUUAUGGCCCAACCUUAUAAUCAAAAUAUCUUUACAAUUGUAGUAGGAGAUUUGAAUUGCAUCCUUUUACCACAAGAUAAGUGGGGAAAGAGACCUGUUACAGAACAAGACACAAAAAUGCUAGAAAAUCUUAUGAAUUUGUGGGACUUGAGAGAUUUCCCAUUCUCAGGUCCCGAUUUUACAUGGACUCAUAAACAAAUAGGAGAAAACCAAGUGAUGGAACGUAUUGAUA
Long non-coding RNA from Papaver somniferum (opium poppy), 2254 nucleotides. RefSeq lists it as uncharacterized. Lineage: Eukaryota; Viridiplantae; Streptophyta; Magnoliopsida; Ranunculales; Papaveraceae. The record is from RefSeq and is a predicted model, not a curated record. The transcript has 5 exons.